Molecule: ribosomal RNA, 1128 nt
Filed under: Triticum aestivum (bread wheat)
Lineage: Eukaryota; Viridiplantae; Streptophyta; Magnoliopsida; Poales; Poaceae
Description: partial small subunit ribosomal RNA
Source: RNAcentral
AUGGCCAGCCCCGCCGCGGACAGCUACGUCAACCAGAUAGUCACCGGCUCCGUCCGCGCCGCCAGCGCUGACGGCCUCCUCCUCCUCUCCUACGUCGACGAGCGCGUGGUCUUUCCCGUCCUCGCCGAACAGGGCGCCGCUCCGCUGCGCAAUGAGCCGACCGAGCACGCCGUCAGCGUCACGCGUCUCGUCUGCAACCCUGUCACCGGUCAGCUCUCCCGCCUCCCGCCCGCCCUCUUCUACGAGCCUCAUGUCAGAAAGCUCAUGUGCGGCAAGCACACGGGCCUACUCACCCGAGCCGGUCGCGGCCACGACGGGCACGGGCCGCCCGACAGGUUCGCCGUCGCCGCGCUGCAGGGGGACCGGAUGGCCCGGUUUCUCUCGGAAACAGGCAGGUGGGAAUCUCUGCCGGUCUCGACGUGCCAGCUCCCGCUGGAGCGGGCGAUGGUGCUGGACCGGGAGGUGGUGGCCUUCGGCGGCCGCCUGUGGUGGCUGGACGCGACCUGCGGCACCAUCUCCGCCGACCCGUUCAGCGACCGGCCGGAGCUCUGCUUCGUCGAGCUGCCGAGGGGCAGCGUGCUGCCGGCCGCCGCCCCACGGGACUGUCCCGAUUGCGGGGACCCCUGCGGCGGCUGCGGCACAUCGAAGCACCGGCGCCUGUGCGUCAGCCAAGGGCGGCUGCGGUACCUCGAGGUCUCUCAAGAAGAGCCGUUUGUGCUCAGCUGCUUUGUGCUCGAUGUUGACAAGCGCGGUGGCUGGACGCUGGAGCACCGGCUCGACCUCAGCCGCUACGAGGCUCACCGGUACGGCCACCCAUGGCUGCCCUUAAAGGGGGAGAACACGCCACAAGUUGGGUUUCUUGACCCACUUGACGCCAAUGUUGUCUACAUGUCGGCCUGCAUCACCACUCUUGAGAAUACGCCACGAGUCGUCUUCGUCGUGGACAUGAAGAUAGACCUUCCGUUUCGGAGUUAUGCGUAUAGAUCAGGCGAACCCUGCUUCGUACCUUGUGUUCUUCCGCCGUGGCUUGGAUCGAGCCAGAUCCCUUCUGCAGGCAAGAAAAGUGUUAAGAAGAACAAGAGUUUGGCAGAUGUUCUGGUUCGUGCAGACAAUCUGCAGAAGAGAUGA